Molecule: long non-coding RNA, 263 nt
Organism: Hemicordylus capensis (graceful crag lizard)
Lineage: Eukaryota; Metazoa; Chordata; Lepidosauria; Squamata; Cordylidae
Exons: 2
Source: RefSeq, a predicted model, not a curated record
CCCGGCCCCAGCAAAGAAGAAGCCAGCUCUCAAACCUUGAAGCAAGCCCACCACGCCCCGAUUCAGCAUAGAAGAAUAUAUUCACUUCCACUGGCCUGUGGAGAAAGGUUCAACAGCAGCCAGCUAUCCUGCAGCUAACAGGAGAAAGAGAGGCAGUGGCACCUUUUUGCCUUACUAGGAAUAGUUUCAUUUUGUACCACAUGUGUUGGAUACCAUUGCAGCCUCCACCCCCAAUUAAAACUAAAACUAUCUUAUGGACUGCU